Molecule: ribosomal RNA, 253 nt
Filed under: uncultured bacterium
Lineage: Bacteria
Description: partial 16S ribosomal RNA
Rfam family: Bacterial small subunit ribosomal RNA
Source: RNAcentral
UACGUAGGUGGCAAGCGUUAUCCGGAUUUACUGGGUGUAAAGGGCGUGUAGGCGGGAGAGCAAGCCAGACGUGAAAUUCCAGGGCUCAACCCUGGAACUGCGUUUGAAACUGUUCUUCUUGAGUGAUGGAGAGGCAGGCGGAAUUCCGUGUGUAGCGGUGAAAUGCGUAGAUAUACGGAGGAACACCAGUGGCGAAGGCGGCCUGCUGGACAUUAACUGACGCUGAGGCGCGAAAGCGUGGGGAGCAAACAGG